GAUGAACGCUGGCGGCGUGCCUAAUACAUGCAAGUCGAGCGAACGGACGAGAAGCUUGCUUCUCUGAUGUUAGCGGCGACGGGUGAGUAACACGUGGAUAACCUACCUAUAAGACUGGGAUAACUUCGGGAAACCGGAGCUAAUACCGGAUGAUAUUUUGAACCGCCUGGUUCAAAAGUGAAAGACGGUCUUGCUGUCACUUAUAGAUGGAUCCGCGCUGCAUUAGCUAGUUGGUAAGGUAACGGCUUACCAAGGCAACGAUGCAUAGCCGACCUGAGAGGGUGAUCGGCCACACUGGAACUGAGACACGGUCCAGACUCCUACGGGAGGCAGCAGUAGGGAAUCUUCCGCAAUGGGCGAAAGCCUGACGGAGCAACGCCGCGUGAGUGAUGAAGGUCUUCGGAUCGUAAAACUCUGUUAUUAGGGAAGAACAUAUGUGUAAGUAACUGUGCACAUCUUGACGGUACCUAAUCAGAAAGCCACGGCUAACUACGUG
RNAcentral lists this ribosomal RNA (496 nucleotides) under uncultured bacterium. RNAcentral describes it as "partial 16S ribosomal RNA". It matches the Rfam family "Bacterial small subunit ribosomal RNA", at positions 28 to 507 of the family's 1533-position model. The record is from RNAcentral.